RNAcentral lists this ribosomal RNA (497 nucleotides) under uncultured bacterium. Its description in RNAcentral is "partial 16S ribosomal RNA". It matches the Rfam family "Bacterial small subunit ribosomal RNA", at positions 28 to 507 of the family's 1533-position model. The record is from RNAcentral.
GAUGAACGCUGGCGGCGUGCCUAAUACAUGCAAGUCGAGCGAACAGACGAGGAGCUUGCUCCUCUGACGUUGGCGGCGGACGGGUGAGUAACACGUGGAUAACCUACCUAUAAGACUGGGAUAACUUCGGGAAACCGGAGCUAAUACCGGAUAAUAUAUUGAACCGCAUGGUUCAAUAGUGAAAGACAGUUUUGCUGUCACUUAUAGAUGGAUCCGCGCCGCAUUAGCUAGUUGGUAAGGUAACGGCUUACCAAGGCAACGAUGCGUAGCCGACCUGAGAGGGUGAUCGGCCACACUGGAACUGAGACACGGUCCAGACUCCUACGGGAGGCAGCAGUAGGGAAUCUUCCGCAAUGGGCGAAAGCCUGACGGAGCAACGCCGCGUGAGUGAUGAAGGUCUUCGGAUCGUAAAACUCUGUUAUUAGGGAAGAACAAAUGUGUAAGUAACUAUGCACGUCUUGACGGUACCUAAUCAGAAAGCCACGGCUAACUACGUG